RNAcentral lists this transfer RNA (61 nucleotides) under Liposcelis paeta. RNAcentral's name for it is "tRNA-His". The record is from RNAcentral. Lineage: Eukaryota; Metazoa; Arthropoda; Insecta; Psocodea; Liposcelididae.
UAACAAUUCAUAUAAUUUAAUUUGUGGAAUUAAAUUUAUAAUCUUAGUUUAUAAUUGUUUA